ACUGAGGACAGUGGUGUGUGCCUGCAGUCCCAGCUACUCAGGAGGCUGACAUGGGAGGGUUGCUUCAGCCCAGGAUUUCUGGGUUAUAGCCUAGAUCAGUGCUAUGCUGAUAAGUGUCCACACUAAGUUCAGCAUCAAUAUGGUGACCUCCCAGAAGUGGAGAGCCACCAGGUUGCCCAAGGAGGGGUAUACCGGCCCAUGUUGGAAACAUAGCGGGUCAAAACUCUCGUGCUGAUCAGUAAUGGGAUUGCACCUGUAAGCAGCCGCUGCACUCCAGCCUGGGCAAUAUGGUGAGACCCCACCUCU
This is an unclassified non-coding RNA of Cebus imitator (Panamanian white-faced capuchin), 306 nucleotides long. It matches the Rfam family "Metazoan signal recognition particle RNA". Rfam says of the family: The signal recognition particle (SRP) is a universally conserved ribonucleoprotein. It is involved in the co-translational targeting of proteins to membranes. Lineage: Eukaryota; Metazoa; Chordata; Mammalia; Primates; Cebidae. The record is from Ensembl.